AAGCCGGACAAUACUGUCAAGCUAGAGGGCAUCAGAGGGGAGUGGAAUUCCCGGAGUAGCGGUAAAAUGCGCAGAUAUCGGGAGGAGCACCGAUGGCGAAGGCAGCUCCCUGGGAUGCACCUGACGCUAAGAGGCGAAAGCUAGGGGAGCGAACAGGAUUAGAGACCCUGGUAGUCCUAGCUGUAAACGCUGGGUGCUAGGUGUGGGACGUAGAAGUUCCGUGCCGGAGCAAACGCGAUAAGCACCCCGCCUGGGAAUUACGGUCGCAAGGCUAAAACUCAAACGAAUUGACGGGGCCCCGCACAAGCAGCGGAGCGUGUGGUUCAAUUCGAUGCUACACGAAGAACCUUACCUGGGUUUGACAUGUACGUGGUACGAAGGCGAAAGCCUAAGGACCCUUCGGGGAGCGUACACAGGUGCUGCAUGGCUGUCGUCAGCUCGUGCCGUGAGGUGUCGGGUUAAGUCCCGUAACGAGCGCAACUCUUGCCCUUAGUUACAAGUGUCUAAGGGGACUGCCGGCGGGAAGCCGGAGGAAGGUGGGGAUGACGUCAAGUCAGCAUGGCCCUUAUGUCCAGGGCUACACACACGCUACAAUGGUCAGUACAAAGGGUAGCGAAGUCGCGAGGCGGAGCGAAUCUCAACAAAGCUGAUCGUAGUUCGGAUUGCAGGCUGCAACCCGCCUGCAUGAAGCUGGAGUUGCUAGUAACCGCGCGUCAGCCAUAGUGCGGUGAAUACGUACCCGGGGCUUGUACACACCGCCCGUCACGUCAUGGGAGUCGGUUACGCCUGAAGCCGGUAGUCUGACCCGCAAGGGGGACGCUGUCGAAGG
RNAcentral lists this ribosomal RNA (829 nucleotides) under uncultured organism. RNAcentral describes it as "bacterial SSU rRNA". It matches the Rfam family "Bacterial small subunit ribosomal RNA", at positions 620 to 1462 of the family's 1533-position model. The record is from RNAcentral.